AUUGAACGCUGGCGGCAGGCCUAACACAUGCAAGUCGAGCGGAUGAAGGGAGCUUGCUCCUGGAUUCAGCGGCGGACGGGUGAGUAAUGCCUAGGAAUCUGCCUGGUAGUGGGGGAUAACGUCCGGAAACGGGCGCUAAUACCGCAUACGUCCUGAGGGAGAAAGUGGGGGAUCUUCGGACCUCACGCUAUCAGAUGAGCCUAGGUCGGAUUAGCUAGUUGGUGGGGUAAAGGCCUACCAAGGCGACGAUCCGUAACUGGUCUGAGAGGAUGAUCAGUCACACUGGAACUGAGACGCGGUCCAGACUCCUACGGGAGGCAGCAGUGGGGAAUAUUGGACAAUGGGCGAAAGCCUGAUCCAGCCAUGCCGCGUGUGUGAAGAAGGUCUUCGGAUUGUAAAGCAUUUUAAGUUGGGAGGAAGGGCAGUAAGUUAAUACCUUGCUGUUUUGACGUUACCAACAGAAUAAGCACCGGCUAACUUCGUG
RNAcentral lists this ribosomal RNA (484 nucleotides) under uncultured bacterium. RNAcentral's name for it is "partial 16S ribosomal RNA". It matches the Rfam family "Bacterial small subunit ribosomal RNA", at positions 30 to 507 of the family's 1533-position model. The record is from RNAcentral.